CAUUCUCAGCAAAAGAUAUCUUGGCUCUUGCAACUAUGAAGAAUGCAAUGAAAGCGUAGUGUGAAUUGCAGAGUUCUGUGAAUCACCAAGUUUCUAAUAUAUCAAUCAACUACAAACCUAUAUAAAGUCA
RNAcentral lists this ribosomal RNA (130 nucleotides) under Physcomitrium patens. RNAcentral's name for it is "rRNA 5_8S_rRNA". It matches the Rfam family "5.8S ribosomal RNA". Rfam says of the family: 5.8S ribosomal RNA (5.8S rRNA) is a component of the large subunit of the eukaryotic ribosome. It is transcribed by RNA polymerase I as part of the 45S precursor that also contains 18S and 28S rRNA. Lineage: Eukaryota; Viridiplantae; Streptophyta; Bryopsida; Funariales; Funariaceae. The record is from Rfam by way of RNAcentral.